GAUGAACGCUGGCGGCGUGCUUAACACAUGCAAGUCGAACGAACCUUCGGGUUAGUGGCGGACGGGUGAGUAACGCGUGAGAAUCUGCCCUCAGGAGGGGGAUAACGGCUGGAAACGGCCGCUAAUACCCCAUAUGCCGAGAGGUGAAAUGAAUUUCGCCUGAGGAUGAGCUCGCGUCUGAUUAGCUAGUUGGUGUGGUAAAGGCUCACCAAGGCAUCGAUCAGUAGCUGGUCUGAGAGGAUGAUCAGCCACACUGGGACUGAGACACGGCCCAGACUCCUACGGGAGGCAGCAGUGGGGAAUUUUCCGCAAUGGGCGCAAGCCUGACGGAGCAACGCCGCGUGAGGGAUGAAGGCCUCUGGGCUGUAAACCUCUUUUAUCAAGGAAGAAGAUCUGACGGUACUUGAUGAAUAAGCCACGGCUAAUUCCGUGCCAGCAGCCGCGGUAAUACGGGAGUGGCAAGCGUUAUCCGGAAUUAUUGGGCGUAAAGCGUCCGCAGGCGGUCUUGAAAGUCUGUUGUUAAAGCGUGGA
This 531-nucleotide ribosomal RNA is filed under the name uncultured cyanobacterium. RNAcentral's name for it is "bacterial SSU rRNA". It matches the Rfam family "Bacterial small subunit ribosomal RNA", at positions 28 to 606 of the family's 1533-position model. The record is from RNAcentral. Lineage: Bacteria; Bacillati; Cyanobacteriota.